GACGAACGCUGGCGGCGUGCUUAACACAUGCAAGUCGAACGGAAAGGCCCUGCUUUUGUGGGGUGCUCUAGUGGCGAACGGGGGAGUAACACCUGAGUAACCUGCCCUUGACUUUGGGAUAACUUCAGGAAACUGGGGCUAAUACCGGGUAGGAGCUCCUGCUGCAUGGUGGGGGUUGGAAAGUUUCGGCGGUUGGGGAUGGACUCGCGGCUUAUCAGCUUGUUGGUUGGGUAGUGGCUUACCAAGUGUUUGACGGGUAGCCGGCAUGAGAGGGUGACCGGCGACAAUGGGACUGCGAUACGGCGCAGACUCCUACGGGAGGCAGCAGUGGGGAAUAUUGCACAGUGGGCGGAAGCGUGAUGCAGCAACGCUGCGUGCGGGAUGACGGCCUUCGGGUGGUAAACAGCUUUCGCAUGUGACGAAGCGUGAGUGACGGUAAUGGGUAAAGAAGCACCGGCUAACUACGUG
This 468-nucleotide ribosomal RNA is filed under the name uncultured bacterium. RNAcentral describes it as "partial 16S ribosomal RNA". It matches the Rfam family "Bacterial small subunit ribosomal RNA", at positions 28 to 507 of the family's 1533-position model. The record is from RNAcentral.